GACGAACGCUGGCGGCGUGCCUAAUACAUGCAAGUCGAACGCUUCUUUCCUCCCGAGUGCUUGCACUCGAUUGGAAAGAGGAGUGGCGGACGGGUGAGUAACACGUGGGUAACCUACCCAUCAGAGGGGGAUAACACUUGGAAACAGGUGCUAAUACCGCAUAACAGUUUAUGCCGCAUGGCAUAAGAGUGAAAGGCGCUUUCGGGUGUCGCUGAUGGAUGGACCCGCGGUGCAUUAGCUAGUUGGUGAGGUAACGGCUCACCAAGGCCACGAUGAAUAGCCGACCUGGGAGGGUGAUCGGCCACACUGAGACUGAGACACGGCCCAGACUCCUACGGGAGGCAGCAGUAGGGAAUCUUCGGCAAUGGACGAAAGUCUGACCGAGCAACGCCGCGUGAGUGAAGAAGGUUUUCGGAUCGUAAAACUCUGUUGUUAGAGAAGAACAAGGACGUUAGUAACUGGACGUCCCCUGACGGUAUCUAACCAGAAAGCCACGGCUAACUACGUGCCAGCAGCCGCCGCCG
This 524-nucleotide ribosomal RNA is filed under the name uncultured bacterium. RNAcentral describes it as "partial 16S ribosomal RNA". It matches the Rfam family "Bacterial small subunit ribosomal RNA", at positions 28 to 523 of the family's 1533-position model. The record is from RNAcentral.